CCUACGAGUGGCAGCAGUGGGGAAUAUUGGGCAAUGGGCGCAAGCCUGACCCAGCAACGCCACGUGAAGGAAGAAGGCUUUCGGGUUGUAAACUUCUUUUCUCAGGGACGAAGCAAGUGACGGUACCUGAGGAAUAAGCCACGGCUAACUACGGGCCAGCAGCCGCGGUAAUACGUAGGUGGCAAGCGUUAUCCGGAUUUACUGGGUGUAAGGGGCGUGUAGGCGGGAAAGCAAGUCAGAUGUGAAAACCAUGGGCUCAACCUGUGGCCUGCAUUUGAAACUGUUUUUCUUGAGUACUGGAGAGGCAGACGGAAUUCCUAGUGUAGCGGUGAAAUGCGUAGAUAUUAGGAGGAACACCAGUGGCGAAGGCGGUCUGCUGGACAGCAACUGACGCUGAGGCGCGAAAGCGUGGGGAGCAAACAGGAUUAGAUACCCUUGUAGUC
This 443-nucleotide ribosomal RNA is filed under the name uncultured bacterium. RNAcentral describes it as "partial 16S ribosomal RNA". It matches the Rfam family "Bacterial small subunit ribosomal RNA", at positions 338 to 795 of the family's 1533-position model. The record is from RNAcentral.